Long non-coding RNA from Columba livia (rock pigeon), 6997 nucleotides. RefSeq lists it as uncharacterized. The record is from RefSeq and is a predicted model, not a curated record. The transcript is spliced from 4 exons. Lineage: Eukaryota; Metazoa; Chordata; Aves; Columbiformes; Columbidae.
UGUGCUGUGGGUCUUGGUGGUGAUAGAUUAGUGUGGGAUGCCAGCGCCAGAGUGCCUGUGGGGGAAGCUUGUACUGUCUGGCACUGCUUGGAUAUUCUCUCAUCUUUGAUAGAAACAACUGAAUUUGCGAACUUGUUUCCCACAAGAAAGGCUCUCAGUGUUCACAAGGGAACACAUUAGGGAUUGUCCUAAAGCCUCACGAUGGCAAGGGCAGUGGGGAAAGCCAAGUACCAGAUGAUUUCCUUGGAAUGCAACAAAUCUCGCAGUGCGAUAACAGCAACAAUAGCUUUCCCUCUGGCCUUUCCUCCAACCUCAGACCCGGCACCUCACAGGAUCUUCCUCUCUGGGCAAGUGCUUUGCACUAAGAGCAAAGCCAAAGUGAAGCAUAAUGAACUCUGGAGUGGAUGUGUCCAGAGGGACAGGUGGAGGGCCACAGGCUGAGCAGAAGAAGUGAGAAAUGCCUCCGUACCACCAGUGCUCUGCUUGCAUGUGGCUUCUCUCUAGGCAUGGUGAGACAGCUCUAGGCAUUGGGGAAACCUCCAGGCAAAAUGCUGAGCUCCCUCUGUCUACCUCAACCAUGAGUCUCCUUCUCAUUAAAAACAAAAUUAAAAAAAAAAAAAGACAGACUAGAUUAUCUACUCAGCUGCAGCUCAUGAAUUUGGAUGUCGCAAGGCCCAUAGGCAUCUGUAGAGGUCCACUGAUCACAGGUACAAGAAAGGCUUGGUGAAUCUUCAUUUCUUCUUCCUUUCUUCACUGCAUGAUUUUUCACCUCCACUUGCUCUGCCCUUGAAAAUGGUCAGUGAUGUUUCUGGGGAGUGUAGACCUGCCACCACACUGACAUCCAAUGUUGAGUGGAAAGUGUCGUCCUGUGACUGAUAGCUGCAGUUUGUCUGCAAACUGAAGUAAAAUAUCCCACUACAACAUUACACUCAGUUCCAAGUUUAGAAGUUAGGCCUUGGAGCGUGAGAGCUAGAAGCAUAACUUCAAAAAAUGCAAGCAUUUUUUACAUGAUUUACAUAUGAUUGUUGCAGCCCAUGUGUUAUUUAAACCUUUUUUCUAGGCUUAGAAGUUACACACAUUACCAGAAGGGCAUUGCAAGUGGUGGUGGUGCUGAUGGAGUGGAGGAAGAUGUUCUAUCCUAAUUAUUGCUCUGCAAAUGAGUCAGAAGAGCCUAGGGGGUAUUAUUUGUUAGAGGAACAGCCUGAAUAGGCUGAACUCCUGACUGCUGAAGGAAAGAUUUUCCUGUGGUUACCACAAGACAUUCAAACAGCCGUUCUCCUUGUGGUCUUUAAUCCUUACAUCCCAGAUGGUCUCAGGGUUACAUUAUCGACAAUGAUGAGAAUUAUUAUUCUUCAUCAUAGUACAAAACAAUAGGCUGGUCCCUGUCAUGAGCAGCGUAACAGUGUAAGGCAAAAGGCUGCCACAGGCAGAUGCAGCAGCAUGAAGUAGCCAUGACCAAUGCAAUGCAAUGUUCACCUUUGAACACUCUCCUCCACAGUGGAGCUGGUGCACUGUACAGCCUGUGAUCCACCCCAGAACCAGCUGCAUUUCAGCUGAAAGACAGAAGCUGCCUAUGAAACCACUACGCACAACCCUGGGGUUGAAACUCCCACUGACCGUAGCAUAGCUAUUACAGCUCAUGGUUCCCGAUAGCCAUGAUGGUGGGUUUUAGAUUAAUUUGCUGUCAUUUCAUCAUUUACACUAAAUGCCAUGGUUCUUUGAUAAACAUUUCAGGCCUUUUUCCAAACAAUUUUUCCAUUCGGAGCUGAUGAAAACAGGCUGUCAGCACUCCCAGUAGAAACACCCUGCUUGUGGCAACAGUUGCUGUCUGGCCUAGUGGUCUCCCUGGAGAAGGUCCAAGUGGGAAAGCAGUCUCAAGCCUCCACUCCUGGAGCUGAUGGAGUCUGGGAGGAAGGCGACCACUGUUUCAAGAAGACGAUGAUGCUCUUUCCCUCUGAAGGACUUAGAGGACAACACAGAGUGGGUUUUGGCAGCCUGGAGGCUGGAUUGGCACCAGCCAACUCAAAAAUGAGGAGGGGAGUGAUGGCAGCCCCUGGUGCUGGGGGAAAGAAACCAUUUUUUCAGGACAAAGUGUAAGUUGUCUUCCAGAUGUUGUCACUAGCUGACUUCAUCUGGUGAGCUCGCCAGCAUCUUCUCCCUCCUUCCAUUACAGAUCUGCUGAGAGGCACUGACCCCUGGGGACACAGGCCCUCUGGUUACUGGAGGCUUCCUCAUGGGGACUGUCCUCCAAGCACUAUUCCUGCAUACAUUGCGCAGAGCUCAAUGAAGAGUUCAUUCCAGUCUGAGAAAAGUCUGAACCUGGAGCCAAACAUUGCACCAGUAGAGGCCAUGUCUAUUUGUGAAAGUUCAUCAAGUCCAGAGUUACAGCCAAAUUGUGCUUUUGGAGACUACACCAUGCUAAGACAGGGUCCAUUGGACCUGCUGGGUCCAUGACUGACACCAAAAUUGGAAAGAUGUCCCUGAGAGGCAGGUGCAGACCUGGUAAGGCAUCUCAGCCUUAAGAAGACAAGCAUACCCCUUGCCUGGAUUUCUGCAUGGGUUCUGCCCAUAAAGAGCCCUGCAGCAUCUUUCAUCCGUGUCUCCAAAUUUUGUCCUUAGGAGCUGAGUUUAAUGUGGCAAUACUAAAAGGCAAAGCUUAGCUAAUCACAAAGCAGGAGGGAAAGGAUGACAAUCUGUAUGUUGAGUUAUGAGAGUCUGGCAGUUGCUUUUUAGAGUAUUUAUUAGGAUAUUGUCCAAAGAGUCCUUCACUGUUUAUGACACACCAUAAAUACCAUCUGUCUCCUCUCGCCUCCCAAAACAGUGAGCUGUUCUUUACUGCAAUGCUGUUUGCAGGUCAUCUUGAUAACCUGCCCCACAGGAGGAAGUGACAAAAAUAGAUCUCCCUGCUUAAAAAAAAUCUCUUUAUUUGCACUAAGCACUGAUAUUUUGCCUCUAUUGAUGUAAUCAAACACCACGGUGACAGCAUGUGAAAAGCCUAAAAUAAAGACUCCCUUAAUCUGGAAAUCAGCACCUGGAAGUGUGCGAUGGAGGAUAGCUGAAGUGGGAGAGAGCAGAGCUUGUAUCCAAUAUAGUGAGGCAUUGUUCAAGACAUCUAGCUUUGCUGAGGGCCAGUGACAUCGGUAGAAGAUAGUUGGCCUACAGAGAGAUGUGUAAAUAACAGGUUUUUUUCCUGGCUAUGGUCCCUUUUUUCAUCUGGACUUCCACUAUAGGUGUAUUUUGAGGUAUUUUGUUGGGCCUUUGUUGCUCUGCAGAGGCUUGUGUAUCUCCAGAAAUGUCAGAAGCAUCUGCAGUAUAUGCUUAAAUUAAUUGACAGAGUAUGAGGAGCUCUGCAUGAACUUCAUGAGUAUGACACAGUCACAGGGGUGUCUACAGAAGGCCUGAAGUUUCUGGGGAGCUAGUACACAUGAGCAUUAUACUGAAAGCAACUUGAACUGGGCAGCUUUUUUUUUUAAUCUGCCAUUGUCAGCAAGGUGUGCUCACUCAUAUAUGGCUCACAAACAUAACUUCGAUUCUAAAGCUUAUUGAGAUAGAAAGGAAAAACUAAGCAGAGAAUUCAUAGCUAACAGCAGCUCAUAUGUAGAAGGUGAAGUAACACCAGGCCAAAAAGAAGGUGCAAAUUUUUCAGGCAAAAGUAUGACUUAACCCUGAAGCAAUCAAAUUUUAGUUGAUGGUAAAACCUCCAGCAUGGGAAAUAUUUUGCUGAGGAUCAGGUAUUUUUUUUUCUGGCUGGUACACUGAAACAGAGCUGAAUUCAUGGAAAUCCUCAAGUUUCAGUGUUGCAGAACUAAACAAUUAGAAAUGUUCCUUCCAACUUUAUAAUUGGUGAAUUCAAGACCCUCCAAGAACAUCUACCUGGGAUCAUAAGGAAGGUCAGCAGUAGAAAGCUUAAGUAUCCAGUUAAAGGAAAUCAGCUCUUUAAUGUUAACUAAUGCCAGUGGACAGCUGACAAAUGAGGCUGUUUAAAUAACUAUUUGCUGUCAUUAUUCCAAAGUGAAGAACAAAUUGUUUUGAAAAAUGCAGAAAUACCUCACAACUGAUCAGAGCUGAGGAAAAAGACUGAAGAGGUCAGAUGACAUAUUGCGGACUAGUUUCCCUUCUCUGAAACUGUCUAAUCAGCUUGGCUUAAUUACAGAACACAGCCCCCUCUGAGCCAAGAGUGCAAUACAGAAAAAUCUGUGGGUAAUUUGGAUACAACUGUAAAAUAACAUCUCACAGAAAUCCCUGAUGUCCUUAUAUUGUUUGCAUGGGGACUAAGCUGUUCCAUACAGAUGAGUCCUUGUUUAGAUUGUUUGCUGCCAUACUCAAGAGAAGAUAUUGUGGUGGAAGGGCAGAAUGAACUAACAUACUCUAAACCAUUCCUUAGUCUCUUAGCUUCAUGUCACAGUAAGUAAUGAGUUUGGUACUACAUCAUGGCAAUGUUAUGACAGAAAGUAAAGCCCUUCUGACCUCGAAUUAAUCCUGUCUUCUCCGAGAGCUUUGUUUCAGGCUUCACUGGGGACACGUGUGUGUAACUUUAGAUGAUAUCUGAAGGCAUUUCAGAUGUUAGCCAAAAAUGUGCUUUAUAUUUAUGCUGAAUUUUUUUUCUCCUUUCCAUCCAAAAUAAUUUUGGGGAACAUGGGGAAAUCUCAGGUGGAAAAUCCCUUGAUAUCCCUUGAUUCCCAAACUUAAAAACAAUUAUUAAAAAUGCCGGUAUUGCAUAACCUGUGUCUGCUAAAAUGAAGUGAUCUGUAUUUAGGAUUAUUGUAGCCCUUAAACUAGAGGCAGAAAGUCAGGACAAUCACACAUUGCAGGAAAGAGCUGGCUAUUUCAGAUCAAAUAGAGGAGAAGAACAAGCUAGUUUAUGCAUCUAGAUCAUAGAAAUCAGACACUAAAGAACCCUGUGGGGUAUUUAGACCAAGCACAUGUCAUGUUGAUGUCUGUGGAAAAGUUCCCAUGCUGAUUCAUAGAAGAAAAAUGUCCUGUUCCCUGUUGGUCUACAAAGUAUCCUCAGACCACUGUUAGCCAAUUUCUGUCAAUUCAUCUUCUUUUCCACCUGAACUGUUUGUUUCUCUCAGGAUGCCUGUGACAUUGCUCCAUUAUCUGGCCAGUGAAGAGUUAAUGUCUCAUUUAUUUUAAUUUUUGAUCCAUCUAGUUCCAAAUUUGAGUGAAGCAGGAUGCUCAGGGGAGAGUUUAUUUACAUACUACAGGACAAUCCAUGCAUUCAGGUUUCUAAGGCCAGGAAAAAAUUAGAGUAGGACUAGAAACUUCUUGAGUUCCUCCUCAUAGGAUUAAUGCACCUGUCUUCUCAGCUGGCAGAGAAGGGCAGACCUUGAUGACGCUCCUCACGUUUUCUAAGCUUUCUGCAUUAUGGCAGGCAGAAAUUGAGAAGAACCCUAUGCUUAUGGGGCAAGAAGAUCUCUGCUUGAAAGUGGGAGACAAGGAUUUAAUGCUGAGCAGCAGCGAGGCCACAGCUGUAUCCAGGAAUGGUUAGGUGCUUCAGGGCAGGGCUGGAGCAAGUAGGUAGUUUCCCCAGUAUCCUAUAGAAGAAGUGGGCCAGGCUGUUGACCUGUUUUCUUAUUUGAUUGGGGGUGGGAAAGAGGUAUUGCUCUUUGUGUUCUGAAAAAAAAAAAAAAAAAAAAAAAUUUGGACUUAGAAUGAAGACCAAGCUGGAGAAAAACUUUGAACCUUUAUUGUUGUGUGGGAACCCUUAAGUGUCUCCUCUGUUCAGCAGUUCUGACCAAGUGCAUUUCUGUAGAGAUAAUGAAGCAGCAAUACACGGCAAUACAAGGAGUCAUAAGACAAGUAGAAAGUUGUAUUUAUUUUCUUGUAGUAUGGAUAAUCAGAAAAGGAGAUAUUUGAGUCCCACAGUGGUAAGUUCAGUUAGAAAAAUCCCCUGAAGCUAUGUGAACUGAGAACAUCUCAGUUCCUCUCUCUGAGGAACCCCUACCUUCCAUGCUCUUGGUUGUCUUCAGAUUCCUCACGUAAGUGUAAGAAGAGAAGCAUAAAUUUCAACAAGGGGUGGUUGUUUGCCUGUUUCUUGCCCCACCCCGCUUUGAGUCUGUUUUAUAUGUGCUCUUAUCUGUUGGUUGCUUGGAACAGUUGAUUUCUUGCAAGCUAUUCAAAUGUUGUUGCUGUGUUAGAUGGCUUGGCCUGAAGUGUUUGAUCCUGUGGGUUCAGCUCUAUCUCACCUCAGGCAGAUAAAUUGGGAUCCUGCUAGCUUUCAGCUCCCUCUACAGUUAACAGAAAGAGAAACCACCUGAGGGUUACACAGGUCACUUGGGGCACAGCCAGAAUGCCCUGGUCUUUGUGGACUGAAUGGGGAGCUCAUUUUGUCUGUGCUGCUAACCUAGGCAGCUCAGUUACCAGCUCUAAUUUAGGGAAAUCAGUAUGUAAGGGGUGUAAAUGAGCAGGGAAUAGCUGAGAGAGGAGUACUUCUCUUAGAGCAAUGAGAUGCCCUGAGGAGAGACUGCAAAAGGAUUUGUGCAGUUGCUCAGAGCUCAAGAAGAAGGAGAAGAUUUUCAGAUGCCUUGGUUCCGUUGCUGCAAGAUGUGAGGCAGAAAGUGGAGCCACCUGUGAACAUGAGGAGACAAAAUAGGUAUCUUUUCCCCGUGGUUCAACAAAAAGGCAUGACGUGAACCAAGCAGCAGGGGCAUAGACUGAAGGAGGGUGAGAAAUUACUGGGAUUUCUGAAGGUUUACCUGGGUCACUGUGGCUACAUUCCUUUCACCUCCUGGCAUCUAAAUAUGAAUUGCAAAUAAAUAUCAUUGGCCUCGCACUACAAAAAAAUGGAGUCAUGAGUGGGGAUGCUGCACUCAGCUGGAGUAUGGGAACGGGACGAGACUGGGCAUAUUGCCCCAAUCCACGUAAGAAAUCGGCAAUAAUACCAGACAUGGAACCCCUGCCUUUGCUUUAUUCCCACUACUGCUUCUCCAGCCCCAUCCUUCCUUAACAGAACGCUGCUUUCUGAAACCUAAUAAAAAGAAAGAAGGUUACAUUA